This 254-nucleotide ribosomal RNA is filed under the name uncultured bacterium. RNAcentral's name for it is "partial 16S ribosomal RNA". It matches the Rfam family "Bacterial small subunit ribosomal RNA", at positions 524 to 776 of the family's 1533-position model. The record is from RNAcentral.
UACGAAGGGGGGCUAGCGUUGCUCGGAAUCACUGGGCGUAAAGGGUGCGUAGGCGGGUCUUUAAGUCAGGGGUGAAAUCCUAGAGCUCAACUCCAGAACUGCCUUUGAUACUGAGGAUCUUGAGUUCGGGAGAGGUGAGUGGAACUGCGAGUGUAGAGGUGAAAUUCGUAGAUAUUCGCAAGAACACCAGUGGCGAAGGCGGCUCACUGGCCCGAUACUGACGCUGAGGCACGAAAGCGUGGGGAGCAAACAGG